AUGCUUACUUUGGCAGCACAUAUACUAAAAUUGAAAUGAUACAGAGAAGAUUAUCAUGGCUCCUGCGCAAGGAUGACAAAUUUGUGACGUUUUCCAUAUUAAA
Molecule: small nuclear RNA, 103 nt
Organism: Psammomys obesus (fat sand rat)
Lineage: Eukaryota; Metazoa; Chordata; Mammalia; Rodentia; Muridae
Source: RefSeq, a predicted model, not a curated record